RNAcentral lists this ribosomal RNA (253 nucleotides) under uncultured bacterium. RNAcentral describes it as "partial 16S ribosomal RNA". It matches the Rfam family "Bacterial small subunit ribosomal RNA", at positions 524 to 776 of the family's 1533-position model. The record is from RNAcentral.
UACAGAGGGGGCAAGCGUUGUUCGGAAUUACUGGGCGUAAAGGGCGCGUAGGCGGCGUGCUAAGUCGAACGUGAAAUCCCCGGGCUCAACCCGGGAACUGCGUCCGAGACUGGCAUGCUUGAAUCCGGGAGAGGGAUGUGGAAUUCCAGGUGUAGCGGUGAAAUGCGUAGAUAUCUGGAGGAACAUCGGUGGCGAAGGCGGCAUCCUGGACCGGUAUUGACGCUGAGGCGCGAAAGCCAGGGGAGCAAACGGG